UGUAACAACUCACCUGCC
Molecule: non-coding RNA, 18 nt
Filed under: Arabidopsis thaliana (thale cress)
Lineage: Eukaryota; Viridiplantae; Streptophyta; Magnoliopsida; Brassicales; Brassicaceae
Also listed under: 1 other name
Source: RNAcentral